RNAcentral lists this ribosomal RNA (468 nucleotides) under uncultured bacterium. Its description in RNAcentral is "partial 16S ribosomal RNA". It matches the Rfam family "Bacterial small subunit ribosomal RNA", at positions 28 to 507 of the family's 1533-position model. The record is from RNAcentral.
GACGAACGCUGGCGGCGUGCUUAACACAUGCAAGUCGAACGGAAAGGCCCUGCUUUUGUGGGGUGCUCGAGUGGCGAACGGGUGAGUAACACGUGAGUAACCUGCCCUUGACUUUGGGAUAACUUCAGGAAACUGGGGCUAAUACCGGAUAGGAGCUCCUGCUGCAUGGUGGGGGUUGGAAAGUUUCGGCGGUUGGGGAUUGACUCGCGGCUUAUCAGCUUGUUGGUUGGGUAGUGGCUUACCAAGGGUUUGACGGGUAGCCGGCAUGAGAGGGUGACCGGAAAAAUGGGGACGGAGAUACGGCCCAGACGCCAAGGGGAGGCAGGAGGGGGGAAUAUUGCACAAUGGGAGGAAGCCUGAUGCAGCAACGCGGCGUGCGGGAUGACGGCCUUCGGGUUGUAAACCGAUUUCGCAUGUGAAGAAGAGUGAGUGACGGUAAUGGGUAAAGAAGCACCGGCUAACUACGUG